Paramisgurnus dabryanus is the source of this 1907-nucleotide long non-coding RNA. RefSeq lists it as uncharacterized. Lineage: Eukaryota; Metazoa; Chordata; Actinopteri; Cypriniformes; Cobitidae. The record is from RefSeq and is a predicted model, not a curated record.
CUGGAUCUGAAGCGUAAUGAAUGAUGGUCUUCAGAAGGCCUCUCAUGGUGGCCUUGAUUCAGAGGUUUGAGAAGACUACCAAGCACCAGAGCCAGCUAACAGGUGGACCAAACAUCAAGCCAGAAUUCUGCAUGAGUCAGAAUCUUUUGAUAAUAUUGCCCAAUGCAACAAAUGGAAAAAGCAUGCUUUAUGACAACCUCAGCAGCAGAACCCAUGACUUUCUCCUUGGUAGACGAGACAAAAAAGUUUGGUAUCAACACCAAUCUAACAAUUAAGGUAAAAGAUAAAGUUUUAUGAUCCCUGCAUUCAGGUUAGAGUAUGGGGUAAGUUGACCGUUCUAUGGGUGUUCCUCAAAUGCAAGGUUGCAUGUGGAGGCUGCGUCCAUCUUAGUCCUGGCCUUCUGAGAUUUCGAUGUUAGAAAAAAGCCAAAAUGAGAUGGUUUAGUUUGAUGUCCAAGGCAACGUAAUAAUGGUUUCCGCCCCAGUGAUCAUGGCAUGAAAACUUUAAAGAGAGAAGUUGAAAAUUAGCAAUGCAUCACCAAAAAAAUCCAAUAAUGUAGUACAGUGAAUAAAAGUCAUGUAUCAACUGUCUUUACAACAUGGACAGUUAAACAUUUUGUAAUUAAAUUAAAACAACAAAAUAGAAAACAAGCAGAUUGAUAUGUCCUUCGACGAUGCUUGAUGACGUGGCAGCCGAGACAUGCAGCCUUCUAGGACGGAGCCUUAUUAAAAAAAAAAAAAAAAAAAAAAAAGGACGGAGCCUUAUUUAAAAAAAAAGAAAAAAGGACGGAGCCUUAUUUAUUUUAUUUUUAUAUAUGUAUAAUGUCCCCCUUUGUAUUUCUUAUUAUUUAAAAAAAAUAUUAAAAAUAAUUUUAAAAGGACGCAGCUGUGCGUUUGAGAAACGACCGGAAACGACUUAUAUGUCGCGAGGCCAUCACGUGACCACAAUAUUUACCAGAAGACCGUUAUUUGCUCGAGUACCCUCAACUUUUUUGUCGCAAAUAACAUUAUUAAUAACCUGUAAAUAAUACAUUUUGUACACAUUACGUUCCUCUUCACUUUGUAAUAGUAUGUUUUUUGGUUUAAUAGUCGGCUUUAAGUUAGUUUUUCUGUCAGUUUGAUCGUCAAAAUCUUGAAAGUUAUCUGCAGCCACACAUCCACUGUAUACCAAGUUAUGAUGAACAAUUAUGAAAAUGCAAAAGGAUUGAUAGAUCAGUAAACAAGCAACAAAAAGAUGGGUGCUCAUGGUGGCCUCCAAAUAAAUACAUGGACAGGCUGCUAAAGAGGGUCAGGAUGAUGGAGAUGCAAGAGCCAAAGACAGCACAGACCAAACACCAGGCCAGAAUUCUGCAUGAGUCAGAUUGAGUAAUUUUCACUCUAGAGACCCUUGGGUGACCACCAAGGACGAAUGCAAACUCCAGUGAGUGUCUCUAAGGUAGAUCCUAAUGCAGAUGGAUGGAAUGUUGAUCCGCCUAACAUGCAAGCUACAGAGGGCAUCCUUUAUUCAGUCCCUAAUGCAGAUGGUUGGAGUGUUGAUCUACCUAACAUGAGGGGUAAAAGAGCGUUUGUUAGCAUAAUGAGAAAGAAAACAGAAACACAUUAUUAGUGGCAUUUAAAAACAUAACACUUGUUUAUACUACAUUUUAUGUUCAAUCCAUAGAGCACUCGUUUUGAGUCCUGAGACCCUGGGGUGACCACCGUGAACAAAUACAGAAGCACUCAAUUUGAGUCCUGAGACCCUGGGGUGACCACCGUGAACAAAUACAGACUGCAAUAGCAGUCUUGACGGUACUAGGAUGAAUGCAAAUAAAGACUAACCACCUGACAUCAGCUGUCCAGUCGGAAGCAGGUGCUUGUUACCCCAAAUACGGAUGAAGAGUGACGAAGAGGAUGAUGACUUUUUGCUCA